Molecule: transfer RNA, 77 nt
Filed under: Bradyrhizobium sp.
Lineage: Bacteria; Pseudomonadati; Pseudomonadota; Alphaproteobacteria; Hyphomicrobiales; Nitrobacteraceae
Also listed under: 22 other names
Description: tRNA-Pro
Rfam family: tRNA
About the family: Transfer RNA (tRNA) molecules are approximately 80 nucleotides in length.
Source: RNAcentral
CGGGGAGUGGCGCAGUCUGGUAGCGCAUCUGCUUUGGGAGCAGAGGGUCGCAGGUUCGAAUCCUGUCUCCCCGACCA